Molecule: ribosomal RNA, 253 nt
Filed under: uncultured bacterium
Lineage: Bacteria
Description: partial 16S ribosomal RNA
Rfam family: Bacterial small subunit ribosomal RNA
Source: RNAcentral
UGCAGAGGGGGCAAGCGUUGUUCGGAAUUACUGGGCGUAAAGGGCGCGUAGGCGGCCUUCUAAGUCAGACGUGAAAUCCCCGGGCUCAACCCGGGAACUGCGUCUGAUACUGGAAGGCUUGAAUCCGGGAGAGGGAUGUGGAAUUCCAGGUGUAGCGGUGAAAUGCGUAGAUAUCAGGAGGAACACCGGUGGCGAAGGCGGGUCUCUGGGCCGAUACUGACGCUGAGGAGCGAAAGCGUGGGGAGCGAACAGG